CGUCGCGCUACAGUUCACACACUUGGUUCUGCGCACCGAAGAUGCCAUUUUGGCCAAAAUAACGAGCGGAUUCAAACAGCUCCCCGACACGAAUGACCGCAGGCCCUCCUACGACGUCUCGUCGAGAGCCGAGGCGACGUGUCAGAAACAGGAUUUCCACCCUCCGUCCCGAGUCCCACAGUUACGGAUCUCACUUUGAGCGAUAAACGUAAAAACGGCGCGAGCAUCGGCUGGACACCGCAGGUGCCCGCCUUCCCACAGGGGCUUCGAACUUGAAGGAAGAGCACAUUUAGUCCCGUCAGUGUGUGACGAUCGAUGCGCUGCAAGGUGCAGCCGUUGGACCGUAAACGAGGAAACCGCCAAAACGAAGGUCCUUCAACGUACGGACCUGGAGGCUGGUUUGUGCUCUAGGGUGAAGGGAUUUGGGUUGACCGGGGGUGGCCAGAUUUGAGAUGGGUGGGUGACACAAAGCAGCUCAGCGUGGUCUAAAUCUGGGUUUAUGUUCUGUGUGGAAGCGUCACCCCCCUCCCACCCCACCCCACGAUGAGUUCCUGCAUACGGUGCAAUGCGGUGCAAUGAGCAGCACAGCUAGUUUCAGGGACCACAGAACUUCCCCUCCCAACACUCUCCGCCAGCGUGUGGGGCACGUGGGAGGAAGCUCUGCAAGGUCGGCCGGGUCCCAAGAGGACUGAUGCGCUCACGAUGGAACGGUUCGUAGCUGCGUGACGACGGCGCGGAAGGAGUAGCGCACGUCUGCGCCGUCACAUGACCCCCCCCUGCCUCGCUCAUCUGGGACCUGGAACCUGGACCCUACUCCAAAAACAACGCUGGCGAACGUUCGCCACCGAGAAGAAAGUAAAUGCCACAACAUCCAGCUGCCACUGCCUAGGAAAGCAAAAUUCACUUUGUCCAUCAACCGUCAGAUCGACGCUCAGUCGAGACAGCAGCGGAAGGAUGCUGUGCCCCCGAACGCGUCGCCAUGACAACAGAGACCGUGCGAGUCCAGACGGCUCGGCGACCGUCCCUCCUCGGCUUUCGUCCGCGCUUUCCAGGACAUCGUACGGCCUCCGUACGCGAGUUCUUCAUCUGGGAGGUGAGCCGAUCCACCCGCUUCCCGCGAACGGGUCAUUUCCUGCCGGAACGAAGAGCUUAUUUCAGCUCUAAGAUGAAUGGCGCUCGAGAGCGGAAGGCACGAUCCAAACAGCCAUCGGAGAUCAUUCCCCCAGAAGCUUCGAGAGGUUCAUUUUAAGGGGCUUCGAGAAGAGAAGGUCCAAGUUGCUUUUGUUGCUCAAACGAGACAGGAGAGAAAGCAAAGGGGCCGACGCCGGCCGAGGGGUGGGGCGUGGGGGUGGCAGUAAACCCGGAGGGGACGGAAUCGUGAUCGGCUUUCAUUAGCAGAGGUCAAGUGCUGUGGGCGAAGGCUCUCGUCCGCCGGGUUUGCAAUGAUCCCAGUAAGAAGACAGGAAGUGAGCGGAGACCCCUGGGAUAAGUGCCAUGUCCACAGUGUGGUCCUCAAGAACGAGGGGGGUAAAAAAAAAAAAAAAAACUCAAAAAGACACAAGUGUCUUGGAAAAAAAAAAAUUGACGGCUUGCUCCCGGCUGCGAACGCGUCCCUUUCCACGCUCGUUGCCGAGGAUCGUUUGGCAGGAAGGCGAAGAAAGACGCUUUCGUGGAGCGCGAAUGAGAAGGAGCGAAGGAGCCGCUCGGGACGAACGGGGCUCCGUGGAGCGGCUGCGGAGUCGACGGUACGGCCUCUCGAUUGAGAAACAAUUCCCUGGUCCACGUGGGGGAAACCGAUAUCUGCUUUGACUGGUAAACGACAAAACACGUCCAUAAACCACUAAAUGAACAUCGCUAAUGACCACAGGGUCCCCAAAGCCGAUCGAAAACCAAUCCGCUACUCAACCUCGACCAAAAUAUGCCGAACAUCAUUUCUUCUAAAAUUAUUGCGCAAUUUUCCCACACUGUUUUCCUUUAUUGACAUAUGUGGGUUAGUGGGCAAAUCUUAUUAAACAGGAAGUGUGGUUUAUAACUGGUGAGAAAAGACCAGCAGAAUAUAAAUGAAAAAAAGCGACAAUUGAAGAAUAAUUAUGCGGCUUCUUAAGGAAACCGAUCCAAUUACGGACCCUCGAACUGUUCAUUUCCCAUUAGAAAUAAACUCAUUGGAAGAACUGGAUCGCUUUUGCUG
Molecule: long non-coding RNA, 2188 nt
Organism: Scleropages formosus (Asian bonytongue)
Lineage: Eukaryota; Metazoa; Chordata; Actinopteri; Osteoglossiformes; Osteoglossidae
Source: Ensembl